RNAcentral lists this non-coding RNA (460 nucleotides) under Foot-and-mouth disease virus A. Its description in RNAcentral is "Foot-and-mouth disease virus - type A Aphthovirus internal ribosome entry site (IRES)". It matches the Rfam family "Aphthovirus internal ribosome entry site (IRES)". From Rfam's summary of the family: IRES elements allow cap and end-independent translation of mRNA in the host cell. The IRES achieves this by mediating the internal initiation of translation by recruiting a ribosomal 43S pre-initiation complex directly to the initiation codon and eliminates the requirement for eIF4F. The record is from Rfam by way of RNAcentral. Lineage: Riboviria; Orthornavirae; Pisuviricota; Pisoniviricetes; Picornavirales; Picornaviridae.
ACGCAGGUCCCUCAACUGGUACAAACCGUGCAACUUGAAACCCCGCCUGGUCUUUCCAGGUCUAGAGGGGUGACACUUUGUACUGCGCAUGACUCCACGUUCGGCCUACUGGCGGGUGCUAGUAACGGUGUUGUUGUUUCGUAGCGGAGCAUGUUGGCCGUGGGAACCCCCCCUUGGUAACAAGGACCCACGGGGCCGAAAGCCACGUCUUCCAGACCCAACAUGUGUGCAACCCCAGCACGGCAACUUCAUCGUGAACACCACCUUAAGGCAACGCUGAUACUGGUACUCAGACGCUGGUGACAGGCUAAGGAUGCCCUUCAGGUACCCCAAGGUAACAAGAGACACUUGGGAUCUGAGAAGGGGACCGGGGCUUCUGUAAAAGCGCCCGGUUUAAAAAGCUUCUAUGCCUGAAUAGGUGACCGGAGGCCGGCACCUUUCCUUUGUUAACUCUUAACUU